RNAcentral lists this ribosomal RNA (636 nucleotides) under uncultured bacterium. RNAcentral's name for it is "bacterial SSU rRNA". The stretch from base 1 to 542 matches the Rfam family "Bacterial small subunit ribosomal RNA", at positions 338 to 873 of the family's 1533-position model. The record is from RNAcentral.
CCUACGGGAGGCAGCAGUGGGGAAUUUUGGACAAUGGGCGCAAGCCUGAUCCAGCCAUGCCGCGUGCGGGAAGAAGGCCUUCGGGUUGUAAACCGCUUUUGUCAGGGAAGAAAUCCUUUGGGUUAAUACCUCGGAGGGAUGACGGUACCUGAAGAAUAAGCACCGGCUAACUACGUGCCAGCAGCCGCGGUAAUACGUAGGGUGCGAGCGUUAAUCGGAAUUACUGGGCGUAAAGCGUGCGCAGGCGGUUAUGCAAGACAGAUGUGAAAUCCCCGGGCUCAACCUGGGAACUGCAUUUGUGACUGCAUAGCUAGAGUACGGUAGAGGGGGAUGGAAUUCCGCGUGUAGCAGUGAAAUGCGUAGAUAUGCGGAGGAACACCGAUGGCGAAGGCAAUCCCCUGGACCUGUACUGACGCUCAUGCACGAAAGCGUGGGGAGCAAACAGGAUUAGAUACCCUGGUAGUCCACGCCCUAAACGAUGUCAACUGGUUGUUGGACGGCUUGCUGUUCAGUAACGAAGCUAACGCGUGAAGUUGACCGCCUGGGGGAGGACGGCCGCGAGGUUAGUAAACGUUAAAAGUAAAGUUAGUACGGCGUGAGACGUAGACCGAACGGACGACGACGAGGGAGGGAGGG